This 442-nucleotide ribosomal RNA is filed under the name uncultured bacterium. RNAcentral describes it as "partial 16S ribosomal RNA". It matches the Rfam family "Bacterial small subunit ribosomal RNA", at positions 338 to 795 of the family's 1533-position model. The record is from RNAcentral.
CCUACGGGUGGCAGCAGUGGGGAAUAUUGGGCAAUGGGCGCAAGCCUGACCCAGCAACGCCGCGUGAAGGAAGGAGGCUUUCGGGUUGUAAACUUCUUUUGUCAGGGAAGAGUAGAAGACGGUACCUGACGAAUAAGCGACGGCUAACUACGUGCCAGCAGCCGCGGUAAUACGUCGGUGGCAAGCGUUGUCCGGAUUUACCGGGUGUAAAGGGCGUGUGGCCGGGUUGACAAGCCAGAUGUGAAAGCCUGCGGCUGAACCGCAGAACUGCCUUUGAUACUGUUGAUCUUGAGUACUGUGGAGGCAGACGGAAUGUCUGGUGUAGCGGUGAAAUGCGUAGAUAUUAGGAGGAACACCAGUGGCGAAGGCGGUCUGCUGGACAGCGACUGACGGUGAUGCGCGAAAGCGUGGGGAGCAAACAGGAUUAGAUACCCCAGUAGUC